Molecule: long non-coding RNA, 799 nt
Filed under: Piliocolobus tephrosceles (Ugandan red Colobus)
Lineage: Eukaryota; Metazoa; Chordata; Mammalia; Primates; Cercopithecidae
Description: lncRNA (ENSPTEG00000002086.1)
Source: RNAcentral
ACAAAUGUAACAAAAAAUAAAUAAAAAUGAAAACAAUUGUAGAUGUGCAGUAUAACUGUAUUACAGAACAAAUAUAUGAUUAUAAUAAUAUAUAUGUAUAUGUUUGUGUUCGUGUACAUAGCUCUGUAAUAAAACAAAAAAAUGUAUUUUAAAGUAAGAUACAAAUAAGAAAUCCAAAAUAUUUAAAAAAAACAUGAAAACAUAUUUAUUUAAUUAUUUAAAAUAUCUGAAAAAAUAAAGAAAAAAACAUAAUAGUAAAAAAAAAAAUUAUAAAAUUAUAUACAUUAACUAUCAGAACGUUGUAUAAUAAGAAAACAUUUAAAAGCCAAUUAGACAGCAAUAUAAAAGAUUUAUUCAUAAUUAUUGUAAUAAUGUAUAAAAAUUAAAUAUAUAGUUACAUAUGAAAACAUACAUGUUAAUUUUUUUUUUUAUUUUUAAGGAUUAUGAAGAAGAAAUUUUUAGAUUACAAAAAAUAAUCAAGGAUAGGGAAAAUGAAAACGUGGAAUUAAGAGUUAAUUUUCGAGAAUUACUGCAAGAAAAAAUUAAAUUAGAAGAAGAUAUUGAAAAUUAUGAGAAGGCUAUUUACGAAAUUAACGAAAAUACAACUGCGUUGAAAGAAGCACAUAAGGCAGAAAUAAAAGAAAUUCAAGAAGAAAACUGGAAUCUUUAUUUACAGAUAGAUUUGCUUAAGGAUAAAACUAAAAACAUUGAUAUUUUAAAUAAAGAAGUACAGGACUUGAUGGUAAAAAUAAAUAAAUAAAUAAAUAAAUAAAUCAAUAAACCAAUAAAUAUAUAUAUA